UACGUAGGGGGCAAGCGUUGUCCGGAUUUCUUGGGCGUAAAGAGCGUGUAGGCGGUUUGGUAGGUCCGUUGUGAAAACUCGAGGCUCAACCUCGAGACGCCGAUGGAAACCAUCAGACCAGAGUCCGGAAGAGGAGAGUGGAAUUCCUGGUGUAGCGGUGAAAUGCGCAGAUAUCAGGAAGAACACCCGUGGCUAAGGCGGCUCACUGGCCCGGUACUGACGCUGAUGUGCGAAAGCGUGGGGAGCAAACAGG
Molecule: ribosomal RNA, 253 nt
Filed under: uncultured bacterium
Lineage: Bacteria
Description: partial 16S ribosomal RNA
Rfam family: Bacterial small subunit ribosomal RNA
Source: RNAcentral